AUUUAUAAAAGAAUUAUUUGGAGAGGGUUGUUUGGUCUUGAAAAUAAUUUUUGUUUUUUGUUUCCUUAUUUCUAGGAUUACAGCGGACAAUUACAUGGAUACUUCAGAUACAAAAAGGAGAAUAAAAGGGAGAAAAUGACGUGAUAACAAUUAAAUUAAUUCAAAUGUCAUAUUUUUUUUAUUUGAUAAGUUGUAAUAUUUGCCUUUUUCACUUGAAUUUAUAUAUUUGUUAUUAUUAUUUGACUAAUUUUUACCAAGCCAAAAAAAUUAAAAUUAAAAUUAAAAAAACAAGAAAAGUGAAAAAUUAACCGGUUUAAUUUUUAUAAAAAAAAAAGGAAAAAAAAAAAAAAGAAGGGGAAAGGCAAAUUCAAACACGACUCAACUCCUCUAUCAAUAAAAAAGGUAUGACAUUUAAUGCUGGUUACGUGUCAUUUCAUUUGAGUUACUACUCUAUAUCUUUUAGAAAGAAAAAAAAAAAAGAACAGGUUGGUGAAGAAACAGAGGAACCAACGCCUGCCGUCUCCGUCUCUCUCUCUCGGGAGUUGCUGUUUUAUUAGGCUUCCAAAAAGUGUUUGUUGAGGGUCUCUUUCAUAUCACCAGGAUAAAUUUUUUAAAGGACUUGCUUCUGCAUAUUGUGCAAGAUCAGAUCCAGGAUGGAGGGUGGGUUGAUUGAAAAUAUGAGGGAUGAGAAUGAGAAUAAUGUCAAAAAAGAAGUAGCUGAAACUGUUCGACCUGAGGUGGAUUUGAAUGAUGACCUGCAGCAGCACAUUGGUUCUGUAGACAUUAUACAAACUAAUAUAGGUAAUUGCAAAGGUAAGGAAAAUGUUUGUCAAGGUGUAGCACAGGCAGAUAUUGACUCCUCUGGUGAGGUAAACAUGGAGGCUACAAUAUUAUCUGAUGAUGUUAUACGGGCAGGAGGUUUUGGGGCUAGAGAUGAUAUAAGUAGUUUUCUUCCAGUUGCAAGUGACUCCACUGACUUUGAAGCAUCUCUUCUUGAUGCCCGAGACUAUGAAGAACCACAGGAAAAGAUAUGCAGACCGGGUCUUGGCUGGACAGAAGCUACAAAGUAAGAAUAAGUUUUGCUGUUAGUAUCACAUACGGAGUUCCUGUGAUAUAUUCUUCUGUGGUUGGUAUCUUCAUGAAAGAAAUGAACCUAUUUAACUUACUGAAGCUCUUUAGCAUGGCAAAAUGAAGUCUUUGUAAGCCUCUUUUUACACUAGUCUGUUGUAUAAUUAAUAUUCUGUUGACGACUGAUAUUGUGUCUAAGAUGUCAACAAAAAUUUCAUAUAGCACACAUCACCCUCUUUAUGCUUAAUACUGCUUGGAAAUCAAUGGAAUUGCAAAAUUUAUAUUAUUGAUA
Molecule: RNA transcript, 1360 nt
Organism: Cornus florida
Lineage: Eukaryota; Viridiplantae; Streptophyta; Magnoliopsida; Cornales; Cornaceae
Exons: 4
Source: RefSeq, a predicted model, not a curated record